GACAGAGGGUGCAAACGUUGUUCGGAAUUACUGGGCGUAAAGCGUGUGUAGGCGGCCUUAUAAGUCGGAUGUGAAAGCCCAGGGCUCAACCCUGGAAGUGCACUCGAUACUGUAAGGCUCGAGUACUGGAGAGGUUGGUGGAAUUCUCGGUGUAGAGGUGAAAUUCGUAGAUAUCGAGAGGAACACCGGUAGCGAAGGCGGCCAACUGGACAGAUACUGACGCUGAGACACGAAAGCGUGGGGAGCAAACAGG
Molecule: ribosomal RNA, 253 nt
Filed under: uncultured bacterium
Lineage: Bacteria
Description: partial 16S ribosomal RNA
Rfam family: Bacterial small subunit ribosomal RNA
Source: RNAcentral